This 983-nucleotide ribosomal RNA is filed under the name Salmonella enterica. Its description in RNAcentral is "partial 23S ribosomal RNA". It matches the Rfam family "Bacterial large subunit ribosomal RNA", at positions 711 to 1608 of the family's 2925-position model. RNAcentral also lists the same sequence under 2 other names. Lineage: Bacteria; Pseudomonadati; Pseudomonadota; Gammaproteobacteria; Enterobacterales; Enterobacteriaceae. The record is from RNAcentral.
AGACCCGAAACCCGGUGAUCUAGCCAUGGGCAGGUUGAAGGUUGGGUAACACUAACUGGAGGACCGAACCGACUAAUGUUGAAAAAUUAGCGGAUGACCUGUGGCUGGGGGUGAAAGGCCAAUCAAACCGGGAGAUAGCUGGUUCUCCCCGAAAGCUAUUUAGGUAGCGCCUCGUGAAUUCAUCUCCGGGGGUAGAGCACUGUUUCGGCUAGGGGGCCAUCCCGGCUUACCAACCCGAUGCAAACUGCGAAUACCGGAGAAUGUUAUCACGGGAGACACACGGCGGGUGCUAACGUCCGUCGUGAAGAGGGAAACAACCCAGACCGCCAGCUAAGGUCCCAAAGUCAUGGUUAAGUGGGAAACGAUGUGGGAAGGCCCAGACAGCCAGGAUGUUGGCUUAGAAGCAGCCAUCAUUUAAAGAAAGCGUAAUAGCUCACUGGUCGAGUCGGCCUGCGCGGAAGAUGUAACGGGGCUAAACCAUGCACCGAAGCUGCGGCAGCGAACGUAUCACCCAAGACAACUUUACGGAGUUGACGAUUGACGGAGCGAAGCGACGUCAAAGCGUUCAUUAAAGUCGAGUUGGCUUAGGGAUACGUUCGUUGGGUAGGGGAGCGUUCUGUAAGCCUGUGAAGGUGUGUCGUGAGGCAUGCUGGAGGUAUCAGAAGUGCGAAUGCUGACAUAAGUAACGAUAAAGCGGGUGAAAAGCCCGCUCGCCGGAAGACCAAGGGUUCCUGUCCAACGUUAAUCGGGGCAGGGUGAGUCGACCCCUAAGGCGAGGCCGAAAGGCGUAGUCGAUGGGAAACGGGUUAAUAUUCCCGUACUUGGUGUUACUGCGAAGGGGGGACGGAGAAGGCUAUGUUGGCCGGGCGACGGUUGUCCCGGUUUAAGCGUGUAGGUGUGUGUUCCAGGUAAAUCCGGUUCACUUUAACACUGAGGCGUGAUGACGAGGCACUACGGUGCUGAAGCAACAAAUGCCCUGCUUC